GUAGAAAGGAAAACUGUUUGUUGUCUAGUCUAUUUCAGCCUCAUUCAGAUCAAGAUGAUGGAUCUAUUCCUUAUUAUUAUUUUUUGGGUUUUACCAUUUAACAUUAUUUCUUCAUCCAGCUGUCUCAAGGGUUUCUAAAAAUUCAGCUCUAGACUGCAGAUGAGGGCAAGGACUUCAUAGAAGUGAAAUUCUAUUACACAAAUGACUUAUCCAAAACUUUUCAGAUUUCUCAGCCCUGCAUUACUCUGUCAUCAAAAGAGUUUUUCUGUCAGCACAUGAGCUUUUCUCUAUGUGUCAGUGACAAACAUGUUGGCUCCAUUUCCACUGCAGAAGAACCACACUUCAAUGCACAGGAAACAUUGUCAUGGCAAAAUGAAAACUGAGGACUGACAAGAAAAUGGAAUAAACCCUGAAAAUUCAGGAAUAG
Molecule: long non-coding RNA, 427 nt
Filed under: Parus major (Great Tit)
Lineage: Eukaryota; Metazoa; Chordata; Aves; Passeriformes; Paridae
Description: lncRNA (ENSPMJG00000009462.1)
Source: RNAcentral